RNAcentral lists this long non-coding RNA (3520 nucleotides) under Nicotiana tabacum (common tobacco). RNAcentral describes it as "long non-coding RNA (NTAB_LNC016765)". The record is from RNAcentral. Lineage: Eukaryota; Viridiplantae; Streptophyta; Magnoliopsida; Solanales; Solanaceae.
AGAAGAUGAACAUAAAGCACACUUGAUACAAAACAAUAUUCAGAAGGGGGACAGGGGUAUAUAGGUACUUAGAUGCUAGAAACUAGGUACAACACUAGCUUGGACAGCUGGACUUAGUCACAAGUGUAUGAGCUACUAGAAGUUCUACAAAUAGAGUCUGAAAUAAAUAUUACUGUUUCGAAUGAAAUGAACAGUAAAUAAGGAAAGAGGAAGGGGACUUCAAGGUCUGCGGACGCCAGCAGAUCUACCUCGAGUCAACAAAUAUGCCAAUCCGAGCUGACGCACCUCACGUACAGCUGAGACCAGUACCAAAAUCUGCACAGGAAGUGUAGAGUGUAGUAUGAGUACAACCAAUCCAAUGUACUACGUAAGUGUCGAGCCUAACCUCGACGAGGUAGUGACGAUACUAUGACAGAAAACUCACGAAAUUUAACAUGUACAAACGAAGAUAUACGUGCAACAUAACAACAAAUAGAGAUUACAUACGUACGAUUCGGAGGGGAAAUGCAAAAGGGGGUACGAGGUAUGGUAACUAUAACAGGAAUGACAACAUGAGACAGUCAAAUAAACCAUCAACUAAUGAAAACGGAUAAACAUAAUGAAUAAAGAUAGCACGACAUCACCCAUCAUGCUAUUACUCAUAGCCCUACCAUGAAAUAAUAAUAAUGGCAUGGUAUCACCCUUCGUACUUUUAAUAUUAAUCUCUCCAUGAAACGAUAAAUAUGGUACGUCAUUACCCUUUAUGCUUUAACUCUCUUCUUCACUAUGUAUUAAUCAAUAAAUGAAGAAAUAAUCGGCACGACAUCGCCCUUCGUGCUUUAACACUCUCCCUUACCAUGUGGUAAUGAAUAUAAGAAUAAGCAAGAAUAAAUCUUACGUCAAAAUGGUUCUGAGAUACAAAUCCUCAAUUUCAAAGAAAUACUCCACCAUCACCAUUUAAUUCAUCAAUGUGGAAAGAACGAUCAAAUAAAGAACAAACUAUUCUAGGCAUGAAUAUCGUAAGUAAAGAAGGCAAUAAAUUACAAGAAAUAAGUCACACCCGCAUGCUUUAACCCAACAACAACGCAUAAGUACUCCCCACCUCACAUAUACGUUGUAUCCAAAUAUUUAAACACGUAGCAAAUAGGCAAACAAGUCUUAAUCUCUCAAGUCAAGGUUCACCAAGAAACUUACUUCGCUCCGCAAUCGACUCAAAGUUCAACCAUGGCCUUGCCUUUCGAACAAACCUCCGAACCAACCAAAUCUAGCAAAUUAUUAACCAAAUGAUUCAAAAUACGCCUUAAGAACUACCCACGAAUGAAAGAGGUUCAAUCUAGAUCAUUAUUGAAAAGACAACCUCGGACCCGCUUGGUCAAAAUCCAAAAUUCGGACCAAAAUCCGAUUACCCAUUCACUCCCGAGUCCGGUUAUGUAAUUUGUUUCUAAAUCCGACCUCAAUUAUCGAUCUAAAUUCUAAUUUUACAAAAAUUCCUAAUUCUAUCCAAAUCCUCAAUUUCUACUAUAAAAAUCCUAGAUUUUUGGUUUGAAUCUUAUGAAAUGUAAUAGGUAAUUAAAAGGAAGUAGGUUAGAGUUACUUACCAAUGAGUUGAGGAAGAAAAACUCUUGGAAAAAUCGCCUCUAAGGUUUUUAGGGUUGAGAAUUUGAAAUAAUGAGCUAAAAUCCCAUUUUUUCCUUCUUAAGUCCAGGUGCAGAUAUCACAAAUGCGACAUGAUUGCGAACCCCGCAAAUAUAUGAAAGUCGUCGCAAAUGCAAAGAUUCCCAUCUCUGCUGCCAUCGCAACCAGCACUCAUACCUUAACUUGGCCGAGCGAAACUUCUAAUUUAUUAUUUCUAUUCUACAAUACAAGUAAAACCAAUCUAAAAUUCAACAAAAAAUCUUGAUUUUUUCUGAAAAAAUCUUAGCAUAAUUUCAGCUUGUUAAAUAAUAUAUCUAAGAUCAACUAAAUGAAACCAUGACAAUAUCUGGACAUUAAAUUCUUGACUCUUCUAUGUCAAUGAAGCCUCUUAGAACUACUGAAUAAUAAAAGACUGAAUUUUAAAAUCAAUGAAAUUCAUAAACUAGAAUGGAGCUCAUCAAAUCUGCUCCAUGGGAGGAGAAUAUCCUAGCUCGUAAAUUGACAUAGGUUAAUGUAGGUUCCUACAAGUAGAAUGUCAGUACAACAUAAUUGUUCUUAGUAAGUAAAAUAAUCCUCUCACUAAAAUUGAAACGAGACUCUGAAUGAAAUACGUUGGCAGGAUAUGAUAAAAUUCUAAAAAGUUUCUUUAUGAGCAGUUAAAACAAACAACUCAUAUUUGUGUUGUAAAAAUUCUUCUUUCUUUUAUUCAUGAAAAUUCUUCUUUCUUUCUUUUAUUUUCUUGUCUGGAACAACUCAAACAUAUAAACAUUUAAACUUUUUCUCCAAAAAAUACUUGUAAGUUCCCAAAACAUGUUCUUUAUUUUUUUUUCUUUUUAGGGAGUACCAUUGAUUUUGACAUUCUUUCUUAUUUUUUUCUAAGAAUAUCACCAUGUGAUCAAUAAUGGCGGAUUAUCCCAGCCCAAUCGCCUGGAUCCCAUUCCUAGUGGUGCUUCAUAGUUUAAGGUUCUAGCAUGCUUGCAUUCUUGUGCUUAUUACCGGUGCAUUUCUAUCAUAGGGACCGGACCAACGAUACACUAAUCCUACUCCAUCACGAGUAGUUUCAGGAUUACAUAAGCCACUAGAGACUAUACGCCCUUCUUAGAAAUCUAAGGAAACUUCCAAAAUAUUUUUAUGAGCAAUCUUUUAAUCAUAAAAUCUAAAAUAAUAUUAUUUCUUCAUAAUGCUCAUCAAAACAGUUUUAUCUUAUGAAAGAAGCUUCAAUAGUUUAUAGUAUUAAGAAAAUAUAUGCAAGUCAUAAAAUGCAUGCGACAUAAUUUAUGAAAUAAUGAACCUUUCUUGUAAGAUUAAACAGGAUAAUCCUUUAAAUACUUUUCUAUAGUUCUAAUGAAUAAUGUGAGUCCGCUCUCUCUAAUCAAAAAUGCACCUUGACAUUCUAUAUGAUUUAAUAAUAAUAUGUGGUAUGAUAUUUGUGAGAAGACAACUUUAAUAAAAGUAUUAUCUCAACUCACCUUGAUUUUUCCCUUUCGAAUACUUUAGUCACUCAAUUUCAAGGGAUUCAAUUCACCAAACCAAUCUCUACAUUGGUAAUUCAAGAAUCAAUUCUAAAAGUUUCAAAAUUUCAAGCUUUGGAAGCCCUAGGUUUGCUUCUUUCUCAAUUUUCCAAAGUUUGUACUUAAUCUAUAUUUUUGUAGUAUAUUAUAGGAAUGGAUAUCAACAAAAAUCUUCCCUAAUAAUCAUAGUUGAAAGCAGAUUGCGGAGUUUAACUUGAAUCGCGAAAUCCUAAGUUGGAGGAAAACCUUGUUCGCGAAUCCUUGUUGAAAAUCUAGUGAUUCCAAGAUGUAAUCUUGUUAGAAUCGAUGUUUGGAAGUAGUAAUUUAACUUUAAUUGCAUUAAAAACUCACCUUAUGUAGUAUAGGAACUCUUGGAUGACUUGGGAUUGAGAGAG